Molecule: ribosomal RNA, 32 nt
Filed under: Thelephoraceae sp. AT98H33a1
Lineage: Eukaryota; Fungi; Basidiomycota; Agaricomycetes; Thelephorales; Thelephoraceae
Also listed under: 1 other name
Description: partial 28S ribosomal RNA
Source: RNAcentral
GUUUGAUCUCAAAUCAGGUAGGACUACCCGCU